RNAcentral lists this ribosomal RNA (1525 nucleotides) under Parabacteroides distasonis. RNAcentral's name for it is "bacterial SSU rRNA". It matches the Rfam family "Bacterial small subunit ribosomal RNA". The record is from RNAcentral. Lineage: Bacteria; Pseudomonadati; Bacteroidota; Bacteroidia; Bacteroidales; Tannerellaceae.
ACAACGAAGAGUUUGAUCCUGGCUCAGGAUGAACGCUAGCGACAGGCUUAACACAUGCAAGUUGAGGGGCAGCGGGGGUAGCGAUACCCGCCGGCGACCGGCGCACGGGUGAGUAACGCGUAUGCAACUUGCCUAUCAGAGGGGGAUAACCCGGCGAAAGUCGGACUAAUACCGCAUGAAGCAGGGAUCCCGCAUGGGAAUAUUUGCUAAAGAUUCAUCGCUGAUAGAUAGGCAUGCGUUCCAUUAGGCAGUUGGCGGGGUAACGGCCCACCAAACCGACGAUGGAUAGGGGUUCUGAGAGGAAGGUCCCCCACAUUGGUACUGAGACACGGACCAAACUCCUACGGGAGGCAGCAGUGAGGAAUAUUGGUCAAUGGCCGAGAGGCUGAACCAGCCAAGUCGCGUGAGGGAUGAAGGUUCUAUGGAUCGUAAACCUCUUUUAUAAGGGAAUAAAGUGCGGGACGUGUCCCGUUUUGUAUGUACCUUAUGAAUAAGGAUCGGCUAACUCCGUGCCAGCAGCCGCGGUAAUACGGAGGAUCCGAGCGUUAUCCGGAUUUAUUGGGUUUAAAGGGUGCGUAGGCGGCCUUUUAAGUCAGCGGUGAAAGUCUGUGGCUCAACCAUAGAAUUGCCGUUGAAACUGGGGGGCUUGAGUAUGUUUGAGGCAGGCGGAAUGCGUGGUGUAGCGGUGAAAUGCAUAGAUAUCACGCAGAACCCCGAUUGCGAAGGCAGCCUGCCAAGCCAUUACUGACGCUGAUGCACGAAAGCGUGGGGAUCAAACAGGAUUAGAUACCCUGGUAGUCCACGCAGUAAACGAUGAUCACUAGCUGUUUGCGAUACACUGUAAGCGGCACAGCGAAAGCGUUAAGUGAUCCACCUGGGGAGUACGCCGGCAACGGUGAAACUCAAAGGAAUUGACGGGGGCCCGCACAAGCGGAGGAACAUGUGGUUUAAUUCGAUGAUACGCGAGGAACCUUACCCGGGUUUGAACGCAUUCGGACCGAGGUGGAAACACCUUUUCUAGCAAUAGCCGUUUGCGAGGUGCUGCAUGGUUGUCGUCAGCUCGUGCCGUGAGGUGUCGGCUUAAGUGCCAUAACGAGCGCAACCCUUGCCACUAGUUACUAACAGGUAAAGCUGAGGACUCUGGUGGGACUGCCAGCGUAAGCUGCGAGGAAGGCGGGGAUGACGUCAAAUCAGCACGGCCCUUACAUCCGGGGCGACACACGUGUUACAAUGGCGUGGACAAAGGGAAGCCACCUGGCGACAGGGAGCGAAUCCCCAAACCACGUCUCAGUUCGGAUCGGAGUCUGCAACCCGACUCCGUGAAGCUGGAUUCGCUAGUAAUCGCGCAUCAGCCAUGGCGCGGUGAAUACGUUCCCGGGCCUUGUACACACCGCCCGUCAAGCCAUGGGAGCCGGGGGUACCUGAAGUCCGUAACCGCGAGGAUCGGCCUAGGGUAAAACUAGUGACUGGGGCUAAGUCGUAACAAGGUAGCCGUACCGGAAGGUGCGGCUGGAACACCUCCUUU